This 85-nucleotide transfer RNA is filed under the name Heterodermia speciosa. RNAcentral's name for it is "tRNA-Cys". It matches the Rfam family "tRNA". Rfam says of the family: Transfer RNA (tRNA) molecules are approximately 80 nucleotides in length. Their secondary structure includes four short double-helical elements and three loops (D, anti-codon, and T loops). Further hydrogen bonds mediate the characteristic L-shaped molecular structure. tRNAs have two regions of fundamental functional importance: the anti-codon, which is responsible for specific mRNA codon recognition, and the 3' end, to which the tRNAs corresponding amino acid is attached (by aminoacyl-tRNA synthetases). tRNAs cope with the degeneracy of the genetic code in two manners: having more than one tRNA (with a specific anti-codon) for a particular amino acid; and 'wobble' base-pairing, i.e. permitting non-standard base-pairing at the 3rd anti-codon position. Lineage: Eukaryota; Fungi; Ascomycota; Lecanoromycetes; Caliciales; Physciaceae. The record is from RNAcentral.
GUCCAUAUAGCUCAGCGGCAGAGCGAGAGAUUGCAGUCAAAACGCAACCAUCUCUAGGUCCAUCGUUCGAAUCGGUGUGUGGACU